RNAcentral lists this long non-coding RNA (264 nucleotides) under Elaeis guineensis (African oil palm). RNAcentral's name for it is "long non-coding RNA (EGUI_LNC012667)". Lineage: Eukaryota; Viridiplantae; Streptophyta; Magnoliopsida; Arecales; Arecaceae. The record is from RNAcentral.
CGACCCUUCUUUGGAUGGGAUUGGGUGAGGAUUAAAUCUAGUAGAAGUUUGAAUUCAAAAUGAUUUUGAAUUCGAACUCAGAUUAAUCCUUAUCCAACCUCUUAUCCUCUUGAUUCGACAACAUUAAAAAGCUUGUUUUUUUGUAUGCUGAAGAGGUUUGGUUUUUCAUCGAGAGAAGGCUGUGAGAAGGGUGACUGAACAAGGGUCUAGGGGCGUGAGGCUUGGGGUGGGUUGCCAUCUCUUUGGCAUGUGCUUUAGAGGAGA